RNAcentral lists this ribosomal RNA (253 nucleotides) under uncultured bacterium. RNAcentral describes it as "partial 16S ribosomal RNA". It matches the Rfam family "Bacterial small subunit ribosomal RNA", at positions 524 to 776 of the family's 1533-position model. The record is from RNAcentral.
UACAGAGAGUGCAAACGUUGUUCGGAAUUACUGGGCUUAAAGCGCGCGUAGGCGGCUUUGCAAGUCGGGUGUGAAAUCCCCAGGCUUAACCUGGGAACUGCAUUCGAGACUGCAUUGCUAGAGUAUGGGAGAGGGAAGUGGAAUUUCCGGUGUAGCGGUGAAAUGCGUAGAUAUCGGAAGGAACAUCAGUGGCGAAAGCGACUUCCUGGACCAAUACUGACGCUCAUGUGCGAAAGCGUGGGGAGCAAACAGG